AGUUGGUCUGAGAGGACGACCAGCCACACUGGGACUGAGACACGGCCCAGACUCCUACGGGAGGCAGCAGUGGGGAAUUUUGGACAAUGGGCGNAAGCCUGAUCCAGCAAUGCCGCGUGAGUGAAGAAGGCCUUCGGGUUGUAAAGCUCUUUCAGUCGAGAAGAAAAAAUUAUGACUAAUAAUCAUAGUUCAUGACGGUAUCGACAGAAGAAG
RNAcentral lists this ribosomal RNA (213 nucleotides) under Nitrosomonas sp. Its description in RNAcentral is "partial 16S ribosomal RNA". It matches the Rfam family "Bacterial small subunit ribosomal RNA", at positions 285 to 490 of the family's 1533-position model. The record is from RNAcentral. Lineage: Bacteria; Pseudomonadati; Pseudomonadota; Betaproteobacteria; Nitrosomonadales; Nitrosomonadaceae.